This 378-nucleotide ribosomal RNA is filed under the name uncultured fungus. RNAcentral's name for it is "SSU rRNA". It matches the Rfam family "Eukaryotic small subunit ribosomal RNA", at positions 587 to 972 of the family's 1831-position model. Lineage: Eukaryota; Fungi. The record is from RNAcentral.
AGCUCCAAUAGCGUAUAUUAAAGUUGUUGCAGUUAAAAAGCUCGUAGUUGAACCUUGGGCCUGGCUGGCCGGUCCGCCUCACCGCGUGUACUGGUCCGGCCGGGCCUUUCCUUCUGGGGAACCUCAUGCCCUUCACUGGGCGUGUUGGGGAACCAGGACUUUUACUUUGAAAAAUUAGAGUGUUCAAAGCAGGCCUUUGCUCGAAUACAUUAGCAUGGAAUAAUAGAAUAGGACGUGUGGUUCUAUUUUGUUGGUUUCUAGGACCGCCGUAAUGAUUAAUAGGGAUAGUCGGGGGCAUCAGUAUUCAAUCGUCAGAGGUGAAAUUCUUGGAUUGAUUGAAGACUAACUACUGCGAAAGCAUUUGCCAAGGAUGUUUCA